Molecule: non-coding RNA, 68 nt
Organism: Trichonephila clavata
Lineage: Eukaryota; Metazoa; Arthropoda; Arachnida; Araneae; Nephilidae
Source: the annotation of a GenBank genome assembly
AUUCGCGCAAUGGAUAGCGCAUUGGACUUCUAAUUCAGAGGUCGUGGCUUCGAAUCCUACCUGGGAUG